UUCUGCAUUGCAGGGGAUCCCAACAAGCCCUCGGGAUUCAGAAGUGUUAAAGCUCCCGUCACCAAAGUGGCCGCGUCGAUUGGAAACGCUGCUCAGAAGUUGCCCAUGUGUGACAAAUGUGGCGCUGGCAUUGUAGGCAUGUUUGUGAAGCUGCGGGACCGCCACCGCCACCCCGAGUGCUACGUGUGCUCUGACUGUGGCACCAACCUGAAGCAGAAGGGCCACUUCUUUGUGGAGGAUCAGAUCUACUGUGAAAAGCACGCCCGGGAGCGGGUCACACCCCCGGAGGGCUACGAUGUGGUCACUGUCUUCCCCAAGUGAGGCAGCAGCUUCCCCAACCAGCCUCCUCCUGUCCUCUCGUCCCUCUUGAAGUUGCCCUGCUCACCUUGCUCCUGGGCCGUGCGUGUGGGAGGUCGAGUCCUUCCAGCUGGUGCCCACUGGUGCCCACAUGAUGACUGCUUUUCUGAGUAACGGGAUGUUACUUGUUCCAGGUCCCCUUGCCAGCCUUGCUGGGUCUCUUCCUCACCUCCUCUCUGCUCUGCUGCCAAAGGACAUCAGCUGCAUUUGAAUGAAAUGGAAUUUAAUAUUGAUUAAACUUCAUUUUUACUCAAUAAA
Long non-coding RNA from Ochotona princeps (American pika), 615 nucleotides. RefSeq lists it as uncharacterized. The record is from RefSeq and is a predicted model, not a curated record. NCBI's taxonomy places the organism in Eukaryota, Metazoa, Chordata, Mammalia, Lagomorpha, Ochotonidae. The transcript is spliced from 2 exons.